This 465-nucleotide ribosomal RNA is filed under the name uncultured bacterium. RNAcentral describes it as "partial 16S ribosomal RNA". It matches the Rfam family "Bacterial small subunit ribosomal RNA", at positions 28 to 507 of the family's 1533-position model. The record is from RNAcentral.
GACGAACGCUGGCGGCGUGCUUAACACAUGCAAGUCGUACGGUAAGGCCCUUUCGGGGGUACACGAGUGGCGAACGGGUGAGUAACACGUGAGUAACCUGCCCACAACUUUGGGAUAACGCUAGGAAACUGGUGCUAAUACUGGAUAUGUGCUCCUGCUGCAUGGUGGGGGUUGGAAAGCUCCGGCGGUUGUGGAUGGACUCGCGGCCUAUCAGCUUGUUGGUGGGGUAGUGUCCUACCAAGGCGGCGACGGGUAGCCGGCCUGAGAGGGUGACCGGCCACAUUGGGACUGAGAUACGGCCCAGACUCCUACGGGAGGCAGCAGGGGGGAAUAUUGCACAAUGGGCGCAAGCCUGAUGCAGCAACGCCGCGUGCGGGAUGACGGCCUUCGGGUUGUAAACCGCUUUCAGCAGGGACGAAGCUUUUUGUGACGGUACCUGCAGAAGAAGCACCGGCUAACUACGUG